Long non-coding RNA from Eptesicus fuscus (big brown bat), 304 nucleotides. RefSeq lists it as uncharacterized. The record is from RefSeq and is a predicted model, not a curated record. The transcript is spliced from 2 exons. NCBI's taxonomy places the organism in Eukaryota, Metazoa, Chordata, Mammalia, Chiroptera, Vespertilionidae.
GAAAUGGCUUUAUUCCUAGAACCUCUGGAAAGGAAUGAGACCCUGUUGGACUUCCAAUGGAAGAAAUGCAAAGAGGAAAGGAGAGGGAGAGAGAGAUAAAAACAUCAAUGAUAAGACAGAAUCAUUGAUCAGCUGCCUUCUGCACGCCCAGCACUGGGGAUCCAGCCCACAACCCAGGCAUGUGUCCUGACCAGAAAUCAAACCGCGGCCUCCUGGUUCAUAGGUCGAUGCUCAACCACUGAGCAACACCGGCCGGCGAAAACAAUUCUCUUUUGAUUGCAUGAAUAAAGAAGUGGAAAACCCA